Molecule: ribosomal RNA, 443 nt
Filed under: uncultured bacterium
Lineage: Bacteria
Description: partial 16S ribosomal RNA
Rfam family: Bacterial small subunit ribosomal RNA
Source: RNAcentral
CCUACGGGUGGCAGCAGUGGGGAAUAUUGGGCAAUGGGCGCAAGCCUGACCCAGCAACGCCGCGUGAAGGAAGAAGGCCCUCGGGUUGUAAACUUCUUUUUUCAGGGACGAAACAAAUGACGGUACCUGACGAAUAAGCCACGGCUAACUACGUGCCAGCAGCCGCGGUAAUACGUAGGUGGCAAGAGUUAUCCGGAUUUACUGGGUGUAAAGGGCGGGUAGGCGGUAGAGCAAGUCAGAUGUGAAAUUCCAGGGCUCAACCUUGGAACUGCAUUUGAAACUGUUUUUCUUGAGUGAUGGAGAGGAAAGCGGAAUUUCGUGUGUAGCGGUGAAAGGCGUAGAUAUAAGGAAGAACACCAGUGGCGAAGGCGGGCUGCUGGACAUUAACUGACGCUGAGGCGCGAAAGCGUGGGGAGCAAACAGGAUUAGAUACCCUUGUAGUC